GUCCUUGUUCAGUCAGUCAUUACUGGGGCAGCAUGGAGCUCAGUCUGCUCUCCCUGAUGCUCUUGCUGGUUGUGCUCAUCCACUGUGGACAAACUCAAGAAAAGCCCAAACUGAGGGUGGAGCCUCAGAGCCCAGACACAGUUACUCUGAGCUGUGAGCUGCCACAGUCUACUGGAUGGACGAUUGUAUGGCAGAAAAACUCUGAUGUUUUACAACAUGAUCUGACCACGAUCACUGAAACACUGCCUAAAGAAGGUGGAGCAGAGUUCAGAUGUGCAGCACACAGGGGAAACGAUUUUACACCAUUCAGUGAUCUUGUCAAGAUUACAGUAGUAGGUAUGUCCUGUUUUCUUUUUUCCUUGU
This is a long non-coding RNA of Pygocentrus nattereri (red-bellied piranha), 363 nucleotides long. RefSeq lists it as uncharacterized. NCBI's taxonomy places the organism in Eukaryota, Metazoa, Chordata, Actinopteri, Characiformes, Serrasalmidae. The transcript is spliced from 3 exons. The record is from RefSeq and is a predicted model, not a curated record.